AUACGGAGGGUGCAAGCGUUAAUCGGAAUUACUGGGCGUAAAGCGCGCGUAGGCGGUUUGGUCAGUCGGAUGUGAAAGCCCCAGGCUCAACCUGGGAAUGGCAUUCGAUACUGCCUGACUAGAGUAUGGUAGAGGGAAGUGGAAUUUCCGGUGUAGCGGUGAAAUGCGUAGAUAUCGGAAGGAACACCAGUGGCGAAGGCGACUUCCUGGGCCAAUACUGACGCUAAGGUGCGAAAGCGUGGGGAGCAAACAGGAUUAGAUACCCCGGUAGUCC
This 274-nucleotide ribosomal RNA is filed under the name uncultured bacterium. RNAcentral's name for it is "partial 16S ribosomal RNA". It matches the Rfam family "Bacterial small subunit ribosomal RNA", at positions 523 to 796 of the family's 1533-position model. The record is from RNAcentral.